This 253-nucleotide ribosomal RNA is filed under the name uncultured bacterium. Its description in RNAcentral is "partial 16S ribosomal RNA". It matches the Rfam family "Bacterial small subunit ribosomal RNA", at positions 524 to 776 of the family's 1533-position model. The record is from RNAcentral.
UACGUAGGGACCGAGCGUUGUCCGGAUUCAUUGGGCGUAAAGAGCUCGUAGGCGGCUGCUCAAGUCGAAUGUGAAAACUCGAGGCUCAACCUCGAGCCUGCAUUCGAUACUGGGCGGCUAGAGUCUGGUAGGGGGAUCUGGAAUUCCUGGUGUAGCGGUGGAAUGCGCAGAUAUCAGGAGGAACACCGGUGGCGAAGGCGGGUCUCUGGGCCGAUACUGACGCUGAGGAGCGAAAGCGUGGGGAGCGAACAGG